GACGAACGCUGGCGGCGUGCCUAAUACAUGCAAGUAGAACGCUGAAGGAGGAGCUUGCUCUUCUGGAUGAGUUGCGAACGGGUGAGUAACGCGUAGGUAACCUGCCUGGUAGCGGGGGAUAACUAUUGGAAACGAUAGCUAAUACCGCAUAACAGUAGAUGUUGCAUGACAUUUGCUUAAAAGGUGCAAUUGCACCACUACCAGAUGGACCUGCGUUGUAUUAGCUAGUUGGUGGGGUAACGGCUCACCAAGGCGACGAUACAUAGCCGACCUGAGAGGGGGAUCCGCCACACUGGGAAUGGAACACCGGCCAAGAUCCUACGGGGAGGAGCAGUAGGGAAUCUUCGGCAAUGGACGGAAGUCUGACCGAGCAACGCCGCGUGAGUGAAGAAGGUUUUCGGAUCGUAAAGCUCUGUUGUAAGAGAAGAACGAGUGUGAGAGUGGAAAGUUCACACUGUGACGGUAUCUUACCAGAAAGGGACGGCUAACUACGUG
RNAcentral lists this ribosomal RNA (495 nucleotides) under uncultured bacterium. RNAcentral's name for it is "partial 16S ribosomal RNA". It matches the Rfam family "Bacterial small subunit ribosomal RNA", at positions 28 to 507 of the family's 1533-position model. The record is from RNAcentral.